RNAcentral lists this ribosomal RNA (465 nucleotides) under uncultured bacterium. RNAcentral describes it as "partial 16S ribosomal RNA". It matches the Rfam family "Bacterial small subunit ribosomal RNA", at positions 28 to 507 of the family's 1533-position model. The record is from RNAcentral.
GACGGACGCUGGCGGUGUGCCUAACACAUGCAAGUCGAACGGCAAGGCACUAGCUUGUUGGGGUACUCGAGUGGCGAACGGGUGCGUAACACGUGGGUGAUCUGAUCUGCAUUUUGGGAUAAGCCUGGGUAACUGGGUUUAAUCUAGGAUAGGAUAGUGCCUUCGUGUGUGCGCAGGAAAGUUUUUCGGUGUAGGCUGGGCCCGCGGCCUAUCUGCUAGUAGGUGGGGUACUGGCCUACCACGGAGGCGACCGGUAGUCGGCCUGAGAGGGUGUACGGUGACAAGAGGACUGAGAGACGGCCCAGACUCGUACGGUAGGCAACGGUGGGGAGUAUGACACAGUGGGCGCAAGCCGGUUGCGGCGACGCCGCGGUGGGGAAGACGUCCUGCGGGUUGUAAACCCCAGUCGGCAAGUACGAAGCUGUUGUGACGGUACCUACAGAAGAAGCACCGGCUAACUACGUG